Molecule: long non-coding RNA, 634 nt
Organism: Girardinichthys multiradiatus
Lineage: Eukaryota; Metazoa; Chordata; Actinopteri; Cyprinodontiformes; Goodeidae
Exons: 2
Source: RefSeq, a predicted model, not a curated record
CCACCUCUCUACAGGGUGUCAUUGGCAGGUGUCGUCCUUCAGCUGCAGCUUAUUGAGACUAAUCAGGAGUAGUUUUAGAAGAGCAGAAACCAAGAGGGAGAUGCCAGAUUGUUAGCUCUUCUAGCGUAAUCAGGCCAGCAUUUCGAAUGUAUUUUACUCUCUUUGGUUCCCUGAGUCUGUUUUUCCCUCUUUUCAGGAUCCAGUCCGUGCCUGUGCUCAAGUUCCUUCACUCUGGUGCUCGACUUCCUCAUUCCUCAUGUUCAAGGAAGAAUGCUCUUCUGGUCUCCGCUGUUCAGCUCCUCAGCUUCUCAGACCUUCUUCCUGAUAAAAGUCAGUUUCUUUGCUCAGCUACUACCUACCUUUCUGUGCUCUGCUACUACCUCAUGCUCACCUGCAUGUACACCCUUUGAUGCCAUCCGCUCCACUGCAAACCUCAUUCUAUAAGAAAAUGGAAAUUACAUCCAGAACCAUCAAACCACCAAACACCACCACCUGUCAACCUCAGACUCUGUGUGUAUAGCUCACAUCCUCUAGGAAAUCCUUGUUCAUCACCAACAUGGCCAGUCAGACCCCUGCCAGAAAACCAGAAGAAUAACCUCAACAUAGUUAAUUUUCAAUAAACCUGUUAAACCAU